GACGAACGCUGGCGGCGUGCUUAACACAUGCAAGUCGAGCGGUAAGGCCCUUUCGGGGGUACGACGAGCGGCGAACGGGUGAGUAACACGUGGGUGACCUGCCCUCAGCUCUGGGAUAAGCCUGGGAAACUGGGUCUAAUACCGGAUAUGACUCCAUGGCGCAUGUUGUGGGGUGGAAAGCCUUGUGCGGCUGAGGAUGGGCCCGCGGCCUAUCAGCUUGUUGGUGGGGUGAUGGCCUACCAAGGCGACGACGGGUAGCCGGCCUGAGAGGGCGACCGGCCACACUGGGACUGAGACACGGCCCAGACUCCUACGGGAGGCAGCAGUGGGGAAUCUUGCGCAAUGGGCGAAAGCCUGACGCAGCGACGCCGCGUGAGGGAUGACGGCCU
Molecule: ribosomal RNA, 389 nt
Filed under: uncultured bacterium
Lineage: Bacteria
Description: bacterial SSU rRNA
Rfam family: Bacterial small subunit ribosomal RNA
Source: RNAcentral